CUCAAAUAAUUCAAUUAAAGUUUUGUGGUAAAAAAUUAAUUGCGCCCUACUUGUUGGUACUCCACCUAACAAACGUUGUGAGUUGCAAUGCAGUUCAAAAGAAGUGUUUCAAUGUUGACUUUUUCCCAAUCAUCUUUAUCUUGGCUCUUGCCAUUCAAAGUCAACAUCUAUUACUACCUAAAUCUAAUUCUAUAUGUAAGUUAUUUCCCGACUAAACCAAAUGUGUCAUUAAUAAUGACAAAUGACAUAAUUCUAAACAACUUUCCAAUUGUCUAAAUAAGACGCAUCUAUACAAUUUAUAAUAAGUCUUAGGUCUACCUACAUAUAUACCUAAAGCCUAUAUAUGCAAUAAUGGUUUUGUGUAGCAUGCAUUCAUCAUAUAACAACAUUUAAUCUUUCUUAAAGUUAUCUAGAAUUGUCAUGCGACCAAUAACUACACACAACAAUCUAAAGCACAUGUUUUGGCCACUUUAUAAGCUUAAGCCAUAUCAUUUUUUUGGUUCACUUGGAGUCUAUGUCAAAAACAUAAAAAUCUCAAUUCAGUAAAUGUAUCCAUAUGAACAUGACAUUCAACAACCAUUAUGCUAUGCUGCUUGUCAUUACUCAAUCUUAAGGUUUCACACGAACAAGUCAAUUUGUCAAAUAAUGAUAUGGAUUUCUGACAUAGUUUAAGGCAAAUGAGAACUUAUGAGAUGAAGUAUGAUCCUUAUAGUAAGUUGCAAUGGGUUGACUUUUGUAGUACUGUUUUUAACAAGACAUAUAUGAAUUUGUGCUCAUGGAGGCUAGAGAAAUUUUUGCAAAGCAAGAAGAUCAUUGAAAGGGUUACAGUCAAGCUUGGUGUUACUAAUGCCAUUGAAAACAAAGCCAUUUACAUUCGAGUGAAUCAUACUUUAAGAUUGCAAACAACUUUGGCUGCAGCUGCUGCCAACUCCACACUCAAACCUAUAUAUAAUUUUGAAGAGUACUUUGCUUAGUCUUAGUCACAACUUGAGGGAAUGCUUUAAUAUAGUGUUUUCUUGCUUCAGUGCUUGAACUUUAAAGCUUAGUGUAAAUUAAGCUUAAUUUUUAAUUAAGACUAUUGUUUUGUGAUUAAGUUUUUGUAAAUGUGACUCUAAAUCUAUUGUAGUCUUCAACUUACAUCUAAG
This is a non-coding RNA of Cicer arietinum (chickpea), 1145 nucleotides long. Lineage: Eukaryota; Viridiplantae; Streptophyta; Magnoliopsida; Fabales; Fabaceae. The record is from RefSeq and is a predicted model, not a curated record.